This 492-nucleotide ribosomal RNA is filed under the name uncultured bacterium. RNAcentral's name for it is "partial 16S ribosomal RNA". It matches the Rfam family "Bacterial small subunit ribosomal RNA", at positions 29 to 507 of the family's 1533-position model. The record is from RNAcentral.
AGUGAACGCUGGCGGUAGGCCUAACACAUGCAAGUCGAACGGCAGCACAGUAAGAGCUUGCUCUUACGGGUGGCGAGUGGCGGACGGGUGAGGAAUACAUCGGAAUCUACUUUUUCGUGGGGGAUAACGUAGGGAAACUUACGCUACUACCGCAUACGACCUACGGGUGAAAGCAGGGGAUCUUCGGACCUUGCGCGAUUGAAUGAGCCGAUGUCGGAUUAGCUAGUUGGCGGGGUAAAGGCCCACCAAGGCGACGAUCCGUAGCUGGUCUGAGAGGAUGAUCAGCCACACUGGAACUGAGACACGGUCCAGACUCCUACGGGAGGCAGCAGUGGGGAAUAUUGGACAAUGGGCGCAAGCCUGAUCCAGCCAUACCGCGUGAGUGAAGAAGGCCUUCGGGUUGUAAAGCCCUUUUGUUGGGAAAGAAAAACAGCAGGUUAAUACCCCGCUGUUCUGACGGUACCCAAAGAAUAAGCACCGGCUAACUUCGUG